GUGCUCCCCCGCCAAUUCCUUCGUAGGUGGAGUCGCCGCGGUGAUGGACAGGGGCCGUGAGGCUCUCAAGGGACUGGUCGCGCGCGGAAAUGGCAGGUCGCGUGGCGGGAAGCAGCGCCAGCGCGAGCUGAAUACCUGACCGCUCGCGUGCGGUGAGACGCGCGAACAGCCAGGAUUCUUGCUGGAAAUGCGCCGGGACACUACGGCGCAUCCUGGACCAGUUACCCCUUCUCGGGCUCGGUGACGUCCGGCACGUGCGGCGGUCCGCCGGGCCUGUACUCACGCUGGUAGAUCCGCAGGAGCGAGAGGAAGAGGGCGACCGCGAUCGGUCCGACGACGACGCCGAGGAUGCCGAAUGCCUCGACGCCGCCGAAGAUGGCGAUGAAGACGAGCAGAUCGUUCAUGCGCAUCCGCGUGCCGACGAGCUUCGGCCGCAGGAUGUAGUCGGCGAUGAAGACGAUGACGAACGCGCCCCAGAGGGCGAGCCCGAGGCCCUCGGCCACGUGGUGGUUGAAGAAGACGAACAACGAGACCGGAACCCAGACCAGCGCGGUUCCCACGCCGGGCAGGAUCGAUGCGACGCCCGUCAGCGAGGCCCAGACGAGGGGACUGUCGACGCCGAAGAUCCAGUAGCCGAUGAAUGCGACCGUGCCCUGGUAGAGCGCGGUGAUCCCCGUGCCGAACAGCAUCGCGCGCGUCACGUCGCGCACGUUGCGGACCAGUUCCCAGACCUGGCCGUCCGGCAGGUCAACCGGAG
RNAcentral lists this ribosomal RNA (757 nucleotides) under uncultured archaeon. RNAcentral's name for it is "partial 16S ribosomal RNA". The record is from RNAcentral.